This 502-nucleotide ribosomal RNA is filed under the name Bacillus cereus. RNAcentral's name for it is "partial 23S ribosomal RNA". It matches the Rfam family "Bacterial large subunit ribosomal RNA", at positions 1 to 491 of the family's 2925-position model. The record is from RNAcentral. Lineage: Bacteria; Bacillati; Bacillota; Bacilli; Caryophanales; Bacillaceae.
GUUUGGUUAAGUUAGAAAGGGCGCACGGUGGAUGCCUUGACACUAGGAGUCGAUGAAGGACGGGACUAACGCCGAUAUGCUUCGGGGAGCUGUAAGUAAGCUUUGAUCCGAAGAUUUCCGAAUGGGGAAACCCACUAUACGUAAUGGUAUGGUAUCCUUACCUGAAUACAUAGGGUAUGGAAGACAGACCCAGGGAACUGAAACAUCUAAGUACCUGGAGGAAGAGAAAGCAAAUGCGAUUUCCUGAGUAGCGGCGAGCGAAACGGAACAUAGCCCAAACCAAGAGGCUUGCCUCUUGGGGUUGUAGGACAUUCUAUACGGAGUUACAAAGGAACGAGGUAGACGAAGCGACCUGGAAAGGUCCGUCGUAGAGGGUAACAACCCCGUAGUCGAAACUUCGUUCUCUCUUGAAUGUAUCCUGAGUACGGCGGAACACGUGAAAUUCCGUCGGAAUCUGGGAGGACCAUCUCCCAAGGCUAAAUACUCCCUAGUGAUCGAUAGU